GUGCGUCCCGGGCGUGCGUGCGGCCUCCAGUACGCGUGCGCGUGCCCUCCUGGGGCGUGCUCGCGGCUAUAAGGGGCGGAGGCUGGGUGGCGCAGAGCUGACGGCGCUUUUGUCUCCGGUGAGUUUUGUGGCGGGAAGCUUCUGCGCUGGUGCUUAGUAACCGACUUUCCUCCGGACUCCUGCACGACCUGCUCCUACAGCCGGCGAUCCACUCCCGGCUCUUCCCCCGGAGGGUCCAGAGGCCUUUCAGAAGGAGAAGGCAGCUCUGUUUCUCUGCAGAGGAGUAGGGUCCUUUCAGCCAUGAAGCAUGUGUUGAACCUCUACCUGUUAGGUGUGGUACUGACCCUACUCUCCAUCUUCGUUAGAGUGAUGGAGUCCCUAGAGGGCUUACUAGAGAGCCCAUCGCCUGGGACCUCCUGGACCACCAGAAGCCAACUAGCCAACACAGAGCCCACCAAGGGCCUUCCAGACCAUCCAUCCAGAAGCAUGUGAUAAGACCUCCUUCCGUACUGGCCAUAUUUUGGAACACUGACCUACACAUGUCCAGAUGGGAGUCCCAUUCCUAGCAGACAAGCUGAGUACCGUUGUAACCAGAGAACUAUUACUAGGCCUUGAAGAACCUGUCUAACUGGAUGCUCAUUGCCUGGGCAAGGCCUGUUUAGGCCAGUCGCGGUGGUUCACGCCUGUAAUCCUAGCACUUUGGGAGGCUGAGGUGGGUGGAUCACCUGAGGUCAGGAGUUCAAGACCAGCCUCGCCAACAUGGCGAAACCCCAUCUCUACUAAAAAUACAAAAGUUAGCUGGGUGUGGUGGCAGAGGCCUGUAAUCCCAGCUCCUUGGGAGGCUGAGGCAGGAGAAUUGCUUGAACCCGGGGACGGAGGUUGCAGUGAGCCGAGAUCGCACUGCUGUACCUAGCCUGGGCCACAGAGCAAGACUCCAUCUCAAAAAAAAAGAGAAAAGAAAAAGCCUGUUUAAUGCGCAGGUGUGAGUGGAUUGCUUAUGGCUAUGAGAUAGGUUGAUCUCGCCCUUACCCCAGGGUCUGGUGUAUGCUGUGCUUUCCUCAGCAGUAUGGCUCUGACAUCUCUUAGAUGUCCCAACUCCAGCUGUUGGGAGAUGGUGAUAUUUUCAACCCUACUUCCUAAACAUCUGUCUGGGGUUCCUUUAGUCUUGAAUGUCUUAUGCUCAAUUAUUUGGUGUUGAGCCUCUCUUCCACAAGAGCUCCUCCAUGUUUGGAUAGCAGUUGAAGAGGUGUGUGGGUGGGCUGUUGGGAGUGAGGAUGGAGUGUUCAGUGCCCAUUUCUCAUUUUACAUUUUAAAGUCGUUCCUCCAACAUAGUGUGUAUUGGUCUCAAGGGGGUGGUGGGAUGCCAAAGCCUGCUCAAGUUAUGGACAUUGUGGCCACCAUGUGGCUCUAAUUAAUAAAGUGGAAUAUAUAUUUCUACUGUGUGUCAUGUUGACUUCUGCUCUUGAAAUUCGUGGUAGGGAGGGUCUUAAUUUCUAGACCUGAGGUUUAAUUUUAACAUCUCAAUACUUUGGAGCAGGAAAGUGCUUAAAUCACUUUGUUUAAAACAUAGUAUCAGUAGACUUCUGAAUUUGGGGGCAGAGGCAGUUGGGUCUGCCAUGUAUCAACCAGUUAUGUGAGCCUAGGCCACGAUUAUUGCAGGCCUGUCAUGACUAGAUCUGUAAAGAAGAAGAAAAAUGAUCACCACUUCCAGCCCCUCUCCUUGAGUCUCUGGGGCAAAGAGGACUAUCAGUCCAGGAGGCUGUGGGCUUUUUCUUUUGUACUCUUCAGCGUGUUUUACUUACCCACCAAAAAGGCUGCUUAAUUCAGAUUGUUCUCAAAGUCAGUUGGUAAAGUGUCCACACCACACAGAUGAUUAUAUCUGCUCUCCCAGAUCUAAGCAACUUGGCCUUUACUCAAAAGUUGGAGGGUUUUUUUUCUUGUAUCCAUCACUCUUAUACUUCUUGUCCCACGUACAAUUGUAUUCACUCCUUUGCCCUUCAGAAUAUAUUUAUUUACACUCCCAUCUGGGCGUGUGCAUCAUUUUAUUAACUUGACUGACUUUUGCUAAAGCGCAACAAUGAAGUACAGUGUCUUCUGUUAAGCCAGUUUUACUUCCUGAGUGUUCUUAAAAUGUCACUACCCUAGAAGCCUGUGGGUUAAGCAUCACUUUCAUUUAUUGCACAGUGGUUGUCACUAGUGUUAUUUAUCAAGUAUUUCCAGUUUCCCCCCUUUCGGGUACAUGGUAAAUUGGUCCCCUUGUGGCUGUCAGGGUUUAUAUGACUGUUACUUUGUUAGCAUAGUACUACUCUCAAAAGUCUAUUUGGCUUUUUCUCUGGUUUCAGUUUCAUGUGCCAGUAGUUACCCUCUUCUAUUCAUAUUUCUUAUAUUUGAUAUAUUUUAUCAUUCUCAUGCUUCUAAUUUGGGGUAUUUUUGAACCUUCAAUUGGAGAGCCUGCACCUUAAGUCUCUCCUCCAAGUGGCUUAGUUUAAUUGAAGUGAUCUGUGUGCCACCACCCCCUUGUGGUUGGAUGGAGCCAUGUCAUUAGUUCUGGCCAAUGAGCUGUGAGUGGUAGUGGCUUGCGUUAAUUCUACGUGAGAGCAUUUCAGUGCUGGAGAAACCUGCGAGGCCCUCUUUUUCCCUCUGUGCAGUGACCAGCAGUGCUUCCUAUGGAACUGUUCAUUAGUGUAGGUCCUGGAAUGAGGAUGCAUGGCGCAGGGCCCUUUAUCUGUCCAAUCUGACUGUGAUGUGGGAGAGACUUCUAGACAUGUUGCUUUCUCUAGGGUAUGUUCUUAUAUUUCCCAUUACCCCCCACCCCCUGCAAAAGGACUGGGCCUGUUUCAGGAAGGUGACUGAUACCCACACUGUAGCACAGGAAUUGUGCUACUGAUAUCUGGGGGUUUUGUUAACUGAAGUGUAACUUAGCUUAUCCUGAUUGGUACAUUGUGUACAGCACCUAUUGGAUGCCAGGCAUCAGCUAAUACCUCAUCGCUACCUGCCUCAAAUGUACACAAGGUAUUGGGAGGAAGGCAUGUGAACAAAUAAUGUGUCAUGGUUUUGUGAUAGAAAUACGUAUACAGGAUAGUGGGUAUAUAAAGUUAUUUGUAGGCAGGAGAGGGGUGUUCAGGAAAAGCUUCUUAGAGGAUCUCAAUUUUUUAAAAAUGCGUAGGUUGUAGGCUGCUGGCCGACUUAGGAAAAGGUGUCUCAGCGGAGGGAACAACGGGAGCAAAGGCAUGGAGAUGAGCCUAUGCACAGCUCAUUUAGAAAACUGCCAGUGCAGGCCAGGUGCAGUGCCUCAUGCCUGUAAUCCCAGCACUUUGGGAGGCCGACGCGGGUGGAUCACCUGAGGUCAGGAGUUUGUGACCAGCCUGGCCAACAUGGGGAAAUUCCAUCUCUAUUAAAAAUACAAAAAAUAGCUGGGUGUGGUGGCAGGUGCCUGUAAUACCAGCUAUUCAGGAGGCUGAGGCAAGAGAAUCACUUGAACCUGGGGGUCGGAGGUUGCAGUGAGCCAAGAUGCGCCAUUGCACUCCAGCCUGGGCAACAAAAGCGAAACUCCAUCUCAAAAAAAAGAGAACUGCAAGUACAGGCCAGGCACAGUGGCUCGUACCUGUAACCCCAGCACUUUGGGAGGCUGAGGCAGGAGGAUUGCUUGAGCCCAGGAGUUCAAGACCAGCCUGGGGAACAGAGCAAGACCCCGUCUUUAUUAAAAAAAAAAUUAUUAAAAAAAAUUUUUUUUUCCAUUCAGGGUCUCAUUUUGUUGCCCAGACUGGAGUGCAGUGGUGGCAUUGUGGUUCACUGCAACCUCCACCUCCCGGGCUCAAGCAAUUCUCCUGUCUCAGCCUCCCCAGUAACUGGGACUACAGGUGCACACCACCAUGCCCAGCUAAUUUUUGUAUUUUUUGUAGAGAUGGAGUUUUACCAUGUUGCCCAGACUGUCCCCGAACCCCUGGGACUCAAGUGAUCCACCCGUCUCAGCCUUCCAAAGUGCUGGGAUUACAGGUGUGAGCCACCGCACCCGGCCCACUACUCCCCCAACAUUUUUUUAAGUGUUAGCUCGGCAUAGUGGCGCACACCUUUAGUCCUAGCUACCAAAGGGGCUGAAGUGGGAGGAUCACUUGAGCCCAGGAGUUUGAGGCUGCAGUGAGCCAUGAUCAUGCCACUGUGCUGCAGCCUGGGUGACAGAACUAGACCCUGUCUCCUAAAAAAUUAAGGCUGGGCAUGGUGGCUCACACCUGUAAUCCCAGCACUUUGGGAGGCCAAGGCAGGUAGAUCAUUUGAGAUCAGGAGUUCGAGACCAGUCUGACCAAUAUGGUGAAACCCUGUCUCUACUAAAAAUACAAAAAUUAGCUGGGCAUGGUGGCAAGCAUCUGUAGUCCCAGCUACUGGGGAGGCUGAGACAGGAAAAUUGCUGGAACCUGGGAGGCAGAGGUUGCAGUGAGCCGAGAUAGUGCCACUGCAUUCCAGCCUGGGUGACAGAGUGAGACUCCAUCUCAAAAUAAAUAAAUAAAAAUAAAUAAAUAAUUUUUCAAAGUGCAAGUACAAAUUUUAAAUCUUACUAGCUUGUGGCCUGAACUCUAGUGCCACCUAGUGGACCCUAAAGAAGGGAAUAUUUUAUAUACUGUAUGCUGUGUAAUGCUUUCUGAAUUUGAAUGACACUACCUCUGAAGCUUAAGAUAACUAUGAGAAUAUUAAGGGCUGGAAGAUAAGAUCUAGCCCAGCACUGUCCAAUAAAAACAUAAUGCAAACUACAUAUAUAAUUUAAAAUUUUCUAGUGUCCCAUUAAGGAGUAAAAAGAAACUGAAGAUAUUUUUAACAUAUUUAACGCAAUGUAUUCAAGAUAUCAUUCCAAAAUAUAACAUAAAGUGUUAUUAAUGAGAUAUGUUAAAUACUUUUUUUGUGAUACUAAGUUUGUAUACUGGUGGGUAUUUUAUACUUAAAAUAUGUCUCUACUUGGAUUUGCCACAUUUUCUUUAGUUUUUGUUGGUGGUGCUUUUUUUUUUUUUUUUUUUUGAGAGUUUUGCUCUGUCGCCCAUGCUGGAGUGCAGUGGCACAAUCUCGGCUCACUGCAACCUCUGCCUCUGGGUUCAAGCAAUUCUCGUGCAUCAGCCUCCUGAGUAGCUGGGAUUACAGGCACCCACCACCAUGCUGGGCUAAUUUUUUUUUUUUUUUGGUAGAGAUGGGGUUUCACCAUGUUGGCCAGGCUGGUCUCAAACUCCUGACCUCCAGUGAUCUGCCCACCUUGGUCUCUGUGCUGGGAUCCUUUUCUGUUAACUUGCUUAUAAAAAUGUCACACUCUGUAUUAAGACAUAAGGAGUUAGAAAAUCACUGUAAAAAUAAAGUUGCUUGUUGUACAGGUACUAACAAGCAUUUUCUGAAAUGGAAAUUUGUUUUUUUUUUAACCUAAUACAAAUAAGGUUCAAGCACUGUAUUUAAAUAUUUAAAAGAUAGGAGUUUCUUAAAAUACCACAUAUGGUGCUCUUUCUUGUGAGCUUGCUUUUCUCCACAAUUUGGCAAUUUGCUUCACUCUAGUAGUCCAAUCUGCAACAAAAGAACAGAAUAUAACACUUUCUCAGAGCCAUGCUAAUGAUGUGUUGUAAUAAAGAAUGUUGAUGAACUGCUGACAGUUAAUCUUAUUCAGGCCAUAUUCUCAUGAGGUCAUAGAUCUAUAUUAAGUAUUUUUACAAAGAACAAAGAUCCUGGCACACUGUAGGCCAAACAAACAUUUUCUAAAUGAAGUGUUGCCUUAUUAACAACCUAGCUUGUAGGUUGGGAAGUUUUUAGAUUCAAGGGACAAAGUAGCAAAAAUGUGCCCUCUCCCUCACCCUCUCCCUCUCCCUCUCCCGUCUCCGUCGUCUCCGUCUCCUGCUUUCCACGGUCUCCCCCUCUCCGUCGUCUCCGUCUCCCGCUUUCCACGGUCUCCCUCUGUUGCCGAGGCUGGACUGUACUGCUGCCAUCUCGGCUCACUGCAACCUGCCUGCCUGAUUCUCCUGCCUCAGCCUGCCGAGUGCCUGGGAUUGCAGGCAUGCGCCACCACGCCUGACUGGUUUUUGUAUUUUUUGGUGGAGACGGGGUUUCGCUGUGUUGGCUGGGCUGGUCUCCAGCUCCUGACCACGAGUGAUCUGCCCGCCUCGGCCUCCGGAGGUGCCGGGAUUGCAGAGGGAGUCUCGCUCACUCAGUGCUCAAUGUUGCCCAGGCUGGAGUGCAAUGGCGUGAUCUCGGCUCACUACAACCUCCACCUCCCAGCCGCCUGCCUUGGCCUCCCAAAGUGCUGAGAUUGCAGCCUCUGCCCGGCUGCCACCCCGUCUAGGAAGUGAGGAGCGUCUCUGCCUGGCCGCCCAUCGUCUGGGAUGUGAGGAGCCCCUCUGCCCGGCCGCCCAGUCUGGGAAGUGAGGAGUGCGUCUUCCCGGCCGCCACCCUGUCUAGGAAGUGAGGAGCGUCUCUGCCUGGCCGCCCAUCGUCUGGGAUGUGAGGAGCCCCUCUGCCCGGCCGCCCAGUCUGGGAAGUGAGGAGUGCGUCUUCCCGGCCACCACCCUGUCUAGGAAGUGAGGAGCGUCUCUGCCUGGCUGCCCAUCGUCUGGGAUGUGGGGAGCGCCUCUGCCCGGCCGCCCAGUCUGGGAAGUGAGGAGUGCGUCUUCCCGGCCGCCACCCUGUCUGGGAAGUGAGGAGCGCCUCUGCCCGGCCGCGACCCCGUCUGGGAAGUGAGGAGCGCCUCUGCCCGGCCGUGACCCCGUCUGGGAACUGAGGAGUGCCUCUGCCUGGCCGACCCGUCUGAGAAGUGAGGAGCCCCUCUGCCCGGCCGCCCCGUCUGAGAAGUGAGGAGCCCCUCUGCCCGGCAGCUGCCCCGUCUGGGAGGUGGGGGGGCGCCCCCGCCCGGCAGCCACCCCGUCUGGGAGGUGCGGGUCGCCUCUGCGCGGCAGCCGCCCUGCCUGGGGGGUGGGGGGCCCCUCUGCCCAGCCGCCACGUCUGGGAAGUGGGGAGCCCCUCUGCCCGGCCGCCACCCCGUCUGGGAGGUGUACCCAACAGCUCAUUGAGAAUGGGCCAUGAUGACGAUGGCGGUUUUGUCAAAUAGAAAAGGGGGAAAUGUGGGGAAAAGAAAGAGAUCAGAUUGUUACUGUGUCUGUGUAGAAAGAAGUAGACAUAGGAGACUCCAUUUUGUUCUGUACUAAGAAAAAUUCUUCUGCCUUGGGAUGCUGUUAACCUAUAACCUUACCCCCAACCCUGUGCUCUCUGAAACAUGCGCUGUGUCAACUCAGGGUUAAAUGGAUUAAGGGCGGUGCAAGAUGUGCUUUGUUAAACAGAUGCUUGAAGGCAGCAUGCUCGUUAAGAGUCAUUACCACUCCCUAAUCUCAAGUACCCAGGGACACAAACACUGCCGAAGGCCGCAGGGUCCUCUGCCUAGGAAAACCAGAGACCUUUGUUCACAUGUUUAUCUGCUGACCUUCCCUCCAAUAUUGUCCUAUGACCCUGCCAAAUCCCCCUCUCGGAGAAACACCCAAGAAUGAUCAAUAAAUACUAACAAAAUUAAAAAAAAAAAAAAUACAACUUGAAACAUUGCAGUUGAAAAUGAAGACAAAGGAAACACUUCAAAAGCAACCAGAGGCCAAGCACAGUGGCUCACAUCUGUAAUCCCAGCACUUUGGGAGGCCAAGGCAGGUGGAUCGCCUGAGGUCAGGAGUUCAAGACCAGCCUGGCCAACAUGAUGAAACCCCAUCUGUACUAAAUACAAAAAUUAGUUGGGCAUGAUGGCACAUGCCUGUAAUCCCAGCUACUUGGGAGGCUGAGGCAAGAGAAUCUCUUGAACCCAGAAGGCAGAGGUUGCAGUGAGCCGAGAUUGCACCACUGCACUCCAGCCUGGGCCACCAAGCAACAUUCUGUCUCAAAAGAAAGAAAGAGAGAAAGAAAGGGAGGGAGGGAGGGAGGAAGGAAGGAAGGUAGGAAGGAAGGAAGGAAGGAAGGAAGGAAGGAAGGAAGGAAGGAAGGAAAGAAGGGAGGAAACCAGACAGAAAAAAUAACUUACAAAGGAACAAAAAGUAGACUAACAGGAGACUUCAUGCAUGCAAAAAUAAAGGCCAGAAGACAAUCAAAUAAUAUCUAUAGAUUGAGGAGAGAAAAGUAUUUCCAGCUAAGCUAUCAUUCAAGAGGAAGAGUAAAUUAAAACACUUUCAAGGCCAGGCAUGGUGGCUCACACCUGUAAUCUCAGCACUUUGGGAGGCCAAGGCAGGCGGAUCACCUGAGGUCAGGAGUUCGAGACCAGCCUGGCCAACAUGGUGAAACCCCGUCUCUACUAAAAAUACAAAAUGUAGCCAGGCGUGGUUGCGCGUGUCUGUAAUCCCAGCUACUAGGGAGGCUGAGGCAGGAGAAUCACUUGAACCCGGGAGGCGAAGGUUGCAGUGAGCCAAGAUCCCACCACUGCACUCCAGCGAGACUCUGUCUCAAAAAAAAAAAAAAAAAAAAAAAAAAAGAAUGUUCGACAUUAUAAGGGUGUUGUUCUUUCUUGCUUGUCUAUAACUUUAAUGUGAUUUUUCAAAUUUUCCCCCAGGGUUUUUGUUGUUGUUGUUGAGACAGGGUCUCAACUUUGUCACCCAGGCUGGAGUGCAGUGAUGUGAUAUCAGCUCACUGCAACCUCUGCCUCCCAGGCUCAAGCAAUCCUCCCACUUCAGCCUCUCUAGUAGCUGGGACUACAGACACGUGCCACCAUGCCCAGCUAGUUUUUGUAUUUUUAGUAGAGAUGGGGUUUCGCCAUGUUGGCUGGUCUUGAACUCCUGGGCUCAAGCAAUCCACCCUCCUCAGCCUCCCAAAGUGCUGGAAUCACAGGCAUGAGCCACUUUCAUGACUCUGUCUCAAAAAAAAAAAAAAAAAAGUCUCAAUCAUUAAAACAGUGUGAUAUUAAGAUAUUAAUAGACAGACCCAAGGAAGAAAAUAGAAAGUCCCAAAAUAAAUAGAGCUAUGUGGAGAAUUUUAACUUAAGGAAAACGUGACAUUUCAACACAACAGGAAAAUGAUAGAUUAUUCAACAAAUAGUGCACUGAGUAGGCAUCUGAGGAAAAAAAUGAGAUUCACACUUCAUAUACAAAUUGCAAAUGGAUGAAAUGUAAAAGGAAUAAAUGGAGGGUCAGAGAGAAAGAAAAAGAAACCUUAAACAUACUGAAAUAAACUCUGGGAAGGCCUCCCUAACUGUGAUACAAAAGUCAAAUGCAUUUUUAAAUAAAAAGAUAUUAAUUCCACUGCUUCAAGAUCAAAAAUCUCCAUAUGGCCAAAAAAAAUCACAGUUGCUACUCAUAACACAAAAGGCUAACUUCAAAGAACUUCAAAUUCAUAAGAAAAAAAUAACCUAUAUAAAAAUGGACAAAGGGUAUGAACAGACAGUUCUCAGAAACAUUAAAAAAUAUUCAACCUCAUUCCUCAUAAAAGAUCCAAGUUAAAACUCUCCUCAGAUAUUUAUCUUUUCAUAUUAUAUUGACCAAGAUGAAAAAACAUGGGUAUACUCAUAAGUUACAGAUAGGUUUGUAAAUUGGUUCACCCUCUACAGAGGAAAUUUGGCAAUAAUUACCAAAAGAACAGACUUCACACCUUUUGACCUAGCAAUUCCAGUCCUAGGGCACCAUCUAGGAUAUACAGAUAUUUUUGCACAUAUGCCAAAUGCCACUCCUGAGGGACCGAGAAAAAAGUCUAAACAAACAAAUGGUUUGGCAAUAACCUUAUAAAUUAUAUACAAAUCCUUCUAUAAUAAAAUAUACUUAUUUAUUAUGUCUUUUUGUUGUAUAAUUCAAAUUAAAAUGUAUUACUAACCUUCUUUUUUAAAUAUGCAUAAAGGCAGCAAAUAUAAAGUCUAUGGACCCUGCCUCAGGUUAUUCAAAUAACAUCCUCACCAUUGAUCAAAUGCUCAAGAAAAAGCAGACUUGUAUAGUGGCCGAUGCAACUACUAUUAAACAACAUGUGAAGAGAGCUACUGAUACCUGUAAUUUGGGAAUUGCCUUUGAACACCGAAAAGAAAUGCUAAACCUCUGGCAGAAGAUCCGAGGGGAUUUGAUUAGGAUAGACUCUAGAAAUGAGGCCUUUUAUGACACCUUUUCUACUUAUACAUGGUCCUGGAAUGUUUGCCAAGAAUUACUUUCUCCUAAGGACUUAAGGUUAUAUGAUGCCUAUGUGAAUAGAAAUUCCUCCCAUAACUGCAGAUCCUCUUCCUCAUCAGAUACCAGUGAAUGUGACACAGACUCAGGAAGAAAAAGAAAACAGAAAGGUUUAAAGGGAUUUCAACAAUGAAAUUUCUACAUUUUCUAAACAGCUCAUCACAAACUACUUUUUCAUAGUUAUCAAAAUUAUUGUUUCUUGCUUUUGUCUAAGUACAUUCUUAGAAGCUGGAAAUGUUGACAUCUUUUGGAUUCUGACCAGUAAAAAACCUUAAACCAUUUAGGAAAUGGUUUCCCUU
RNA transcript from Gorilla gorilla gorilla (western lowland gorilla), 10426 nucleotides. It is a transcript of the gene named hypoxia inducible lipid droplet associated, with no coding region annotated. The transcript has 4 exons. Lineage: Eukaryota; Metazoa; Chordata; Mammalia; Primates; Hominidae. The record is from RefSeq and is a predicted model, not a curated record.